AACUUUCAACACCGGAUCUCUGGGCUCUCGCAUCGAUGAAGACGCAGCGAAAUCGAUAAGUAAUGUGGAUUGCAGAAUUCAGUGAAUCAUCGAAUCUUUGAACGCACCUUGCGCCCUCUGGUAUUCCGGAGGGCAUGCCUGUUUGAGUGUCA
RNAcentral lists this ribosomal RNA (152 nucleotides) under uncultured fungus. RNAcentral describes it as "partial 5.8S ribosomal RNA". It matches the Rfam family "5.8S ribosomal RNA". Rfam says of the family: 5.8S ribosomal RNA (5.8S rRNA) is a component of the large subunit of the eukaryotic ribosome. It is transcribed by RNA polymerase I as part of the 45S precursor that also contains 18S and 28S rRNA. Functionally, it is thought that 5.8S rRNA may be involved in ribosome translocation. Lineage: Eukaryota; Fungi. The record is from RNAcentral.